CCUACGGGCGGCAGCAGUGAGGAAUAUUGGUCAAUGGCCGGAAGGCUGAACCAGCCAAGUCGCGUGAGGGAUGACUGCCCUAUGGGUUGUAAACUUCUUUUAUAAGGGAAUAAUGUAUGCUACGUGUGGCUUGUUGCAUGUACUUUAUGAAUAAGCAUCGGCUAACUCCGUGCCAGCAGCCGCGGUAAUACGGAGGAGGCGAGCGUUGUCCGGAUUUAUUGGGGUUAAAGGGGGCGUGGGGGGUGCUUUAAGUUAGUGGUUAAAAGUCGGGGCUACACCUUGAUUUGCCAUUUAUACUGGGAGACUUGAGGGCAGGCGAGGAAGGUGGAAUACGUAGAGUAGCGGUGAAAUGCGUAGAUAUUAGGAAGAACACCAGUAGCGAAGGCGACUUUCCAGACUGCAACUGACGCUGAGGCGCGAGAGCGUGGGUAGCGAACGGGAUUAGAUACCCGUGUAGUC
Molecule: ribosomal RNA, 459 nt
Filed under: uncultured bacterium
Lineage: Bacteria
Description: partial 16S ribosomal RNA
Rfam family: Bacterial small subunit ribosomal RNA
Source: RNAcentral